CUGGGUGUUGCAAAUCAGAGUUCAAAGGCAUGGCCAUGGAGCAGAUCGAGCAUAAGUGCAGAUAGAAAGAUGAAGACAGUGGGAGGAAGACAAACUGCUGGUUUGGCUAUUUAGGGAAGAAUGGAGACAUGUGAAGUCUUAGCAAUGGCUUGCUCUUCUCUCUCUCCUUUUAAUAUCAGAAAACCACCUUCCUUGGUUGGUAUGGCUGCCCAUCCCCUUCUCCAUUGUUCUCACAGGUGCUAGCUUUUAAUUGGCUGAAGGUUGAAGCCCAUACAUAGACUAUACUGUUGACCCAUUGACUAUUAAUCUAUUGUGCACGUGA
Molecule: long non-coding RNA, 322 nt
Organism: Aegilops tauschii subsp. strangulata
Lineage: Eukaryota; Viridiplantae; Streptophyta; Magnoliopsida; Poales; Poaceae
Source: RefSeq, a predicted model, not a curated record